UGGCGGACGGGUGAGUAACGCGUGGGUAACCUGCCUCACACUGGGGGGCAACAGUUAGAAAUGACUGCUAAUACCGCAUAAGCGCACAGGACCGCAUGGUCUAGUGUGAAAAACUCCGGUGGUGUGAGAUGGACCCGCGUUUGAUUAGCUAGUUGGUGGGGUAACGGCCUACCAAGGCGACGAUCAAUAGCCGACCUGAGAGGGUGACCGGCCACAUUGGGACUGAGACACGGCCCAA
This 238-nucleotide ribosomal RNA is filed under the name uncultured bacterium. RNAcentral describes it as "partial 16S ribosomal RNA". It matches the Rfam family "Bacterial small subunit ribosomal RNA", at positions 96 to 334 of the family's 1533-position model. The record is from RNAcentral.